GACGAACCAUGCAAACGUUAUUCGGAUUCACUGGGCUUAAAGCGUGCGUAGGCGGUCUUGUUAGUCAGGUGUGAAAGCCCUCAGCUCAACUGAGGAAUUGCGCUUGAUACUGCAUGACUAGAGAAUGAUAGAGGUGGGUGGAACUGAUGGUGGAGCGGUGAAAUGCGUUGAUAUCUGGAGGAACACCGGUGGCGAAGGCGGCAUCCUGGACCGACAUUGACGCUGAGGCGCGAAAGCCAGGGGAGCAAACGGG
Molecule: ribosomal RNA, 253 nt
Filed under: uncultured bacterium
Lineage: Bacteria
Description: partial 16S ribosomal RNA
Rfam family: Bacterial small subunit ribosomal RNA
Source: RNAcentral